AUACUUCCCUGGCAGGGCGAAUGCCAUGAUCAAAAUGGUGGUUUUUCUAGUGUGAAGCUCCUCGAUUGCAAUUCAGUUGGGCUGACCCCAUGAUUACUCCAAAUGAGAGAAAUUCAACUGCAUAAUGUAUGGUCGUUAGUGAGUAUAUUCCUGCUGUUAUGCCUCUAA
Molecule: small nuclear RNA, 168 nt
Organism: Protopterus annectens (West African lungfish)
Lineage: Eukaryota; Metazoa; Chordata; Ceratodontiformes; Protopteridae
Product: U1 spliceosomal RNA
Exons: 1
Source: RefSeq, a predicted model, not a curated record